Non-coding RNA from Camellia sinensis, 163 nucleotides. The record is from RefSeq and is a predicted model, not a curated record. Lineage: Eukaryota; Viridiplantae; Streptophyta; Magnoliopsida; Ericales; Theaceae.
AUGAGAUUGUACUUUUUAAUCCUUUUGCUCGUGAGCAACUGAGGAAAGUUGCUAGGUUGUCGAUGAGGGAUGGUUCUCCUUUGAAAGAGGGGCCACCUCUUGCACUAUCCACAGCAUUUUUGGAUUUGUUCAAUGCAGCUAGUGAUCCAAUUUAUGAACAAUA